This is a long non-coding RNA of Saccostrea echinata, 219 nucleotides long. RefSeq lists it as uncharacterized. The record is from RefSeq and is a predicted model, not a curated record. Lineage: Eukaryota; Metazoa; Mollusca; Bivalvia; Ostreida; Ostreidae. The transcript is spliced from 4 exons.
AGGACGAUUCAGAGGUCAUUUUGAUUGAGGAAGGAAGCCAACCACCUGUGAUCCUUAUAAAUUCGGAUGAAUCAGACGAUGAAUUUUCAGAAGUGAUCCUCAUAGAUUCGGAUGAUUCAGACAAUGACCUUCCAGAGGUGAUAUCAAUAGACUCUGACGAAGACAAGGAAUGGGAGGAAAACAUUGAUGAUGAGAUUAUAGAAUUAGAUGAUCAUAAUU